RNAcentral lists this ribosomal RNA (375 nucleotides) under Medaeus danielita. Its description in RNAcentral is "partial 12S ribosomal RNA". Lineage: Eukaryota; Metazoa; Arthropoda; Malacostraca; Decapoda; Xanthidae. The record is from RNAcentral.
UUAGAUACCCUAUUAUACUAAUAGUAGCCCCGAUCAUUAAUAGAUAUGAUCUUUUAAACUUAAAGAAUUUGGCGGUGAUUUAGUCUUGUUAGAGGAACCUGUUUUUGAAUCGAUAAACCACGUUAAAUUUUACUCGUUCUUGUAGUCAGCUUAUAUACCGUCAUUAUCAGACAAUUUUUAGAAAAUAAAUUGUUAAAAUUCAAAUGAUGUAUAAAAUUAGAUCAAGGUGUAGCCAAUGAGCGAGUUAAAAUGGGUUACAAUAAAAUUUAUUUAUCACGGAAUAUGUGUAGGAAACUAUAUUAUUAAGGAGGAUUUAAUUGUAGCUACAAGUUUAAUAAGCUUUAGAGAUAUAAGCCCUAAAUCAUGUACAUAUCG